AAAACUGAUGAAUGCACUAAAAACACUACCUGCGUCAACAUUCCUGGGGGUUAUUUUUGCAACUGCAAGCAAGGUUACAAGAAAUUAUCCGACACCUUACCUUAUAAGAACACUCCCGAUAAAGAAGGUUGUGUUGAUUUUUGUUACCCAAGCCCGUGCAAGAAAGGAGCCUGCCACUUGAAAGAGAAGGGAUUCGAUUGUAGCUGUGAUGUAGGAUACAGUGGAUCUUUAUGUGACGCAACUGACGAAAACCUCCAUAAGGCCAACACUAACUCAAAAGUCAUUGGAGGAGUUUUAGGAACUCUUCUUGCAGUUAUAGUUAUUGCCUGCCUCGUCUUUUAUUACCUCCAAUUUUACAGAAAGCGUAACAGGAAUGACUCAGACAGAAGUUUAAUUCCUACUCGUAUGCAAGCUGAUGACACAGAAUUGG
Long non-coding RNA from Uloborus diversus, 430 nucleotides. RefSeq lists it as uncharacterized. The transcript has 5 exons. The record is from RefSeq and is a predicted model, not a curated record. Lineage: Eukaryota; Metazoa; Arthropoda; Arachnida; Araneae; Uloboridae.